Molecule: unclassified non-coding RNA, 244 nt
Filed under: Hevea brasiliensis (rubber tree)
Lineage: Eukaryota; Viridiplantae; Streptophyta; Magnoliopsida; Malpighiales; Euphorbiaceae
Source: RNAcentral
AAAAAAAAAAAAAAAAAAAGUGUGCUAGGAUGAGUGGCACUAAGAGUCUGUUUGGAUGAGGUGAGGGAAGGUUAAAUAAUGAAAGGAUAAGAAAGAGUAAGGAAGGGGAAGGUAAGGAGAAUUACAAUAAAAAAAAUCUCAUGUUGGGGAAGGAGUGAAUUAAUGGAAAUGUAUGGAGAGGUAAUGUAUAUUCUUUAUGUUUUGGAAGAGGUGAAGGAGGGGUAAAUUUAAACGGUGUAUAAAU